This 484-nucleotide ribosomal RNA is filed under the name uncultured bacterium. Its description in RNAcentral is "partial 16S ribosomal RNA". It matches the Rfam family "Bacterial small subunit ribosomal RNA", at positions 30 to 507 of the family's 1533-position model. The record is from RNAcentral.
AUUGAACGCUGGCGGCAGGCCUAACACAUGCAAGUCGAGCGGAAGAAGGGAGCUUGCCCUUGGGUUCAGCGGCGGACGGGUGAGUAAUGCCUAGGAAUCUGCCUGGUAGUGGGGGAUAACGUCCGGAAACGGGCGCUAAUACCGCAUACGUCCUGCGGGAGAAAGUGGGGGACCUUAAGACCUCACGCAGACAGAUGAGCCUAGGUCGGAUUAGCUAGUUGGUGGGGUAAAGGCCUACCAAGGCGACGAUCCGUAACUGGUCUGAGAGGAUGAUCAGUCACACUGGAACUGAGACACGGUCCAGACUCCUACGGGAGGCAGCAGUGGGGAAUAUUGGACAAUGGGCGAAAGCCUGAUCCAGCCAUGCCGCGUGUGUGAAGAAGGUCUUCGGAUUGUAAAGCACUUUAAGCUGGAAGGAAGGCCAGGGAGUUAAUACCUUCGGGUGUUGACGGUACCAGCAGAAUAAGCACCGGCUAACUUCGUG